This 253-nucleotide ribosomal RNA is filed under the name uncultured bacterium. RNAcentral's name for it is "partial 16S ribosomal RNA". It matches the Rfam family "Bacterial small subunit ribosomal RNA", at positions 524 to 776 of the family's 1533-position model. The record is from RNAcentral.
UACGUAGGGGGCUAGCGUUGUCCGGAUUUAUUGGGCGUAAAGAGCGUGUAGGCGGCCAGGUAGGUCUGCUGUGAAAACUCGAGGCUCAACUUCGAGCUGUCGGCGGAAACUAUCUGGCUAGAGUCCGGAAGAGGAGAGUGGAAUUCCUGGUGUAGCGGUGAAAUGCGCAGAUAUCAGGAAGAACACCCGUGGCGAAGGCGGCUCUCUGGGACGGUACUGACGCUGAGACGCGAAAGCGUGGGGAGCGAACAGG